UGUUAUUUAAUUUUGAUGUGACUUAUAUUUAUUAAAGAUAAAGAAAAUUUAAGAUUAGAUAAGCCUUAGUUUUGCAUUGAGAUUUAUCUGACGUCAUUAGAUAAAAUAGAGUUCGAAUAAAAACAUAUAAGGAUAUGUUUCUACGUUUUUGGAUCGAACAUUAGAAAAUAUAUCGUAACUAACUUAUCGCGAUAUACGAAAUGUUACAUACGAAAACAAAUAAGAUAUUUUUUUUAUUGUACUUUCUCACCGUACGUAAUGUAAUCUAUCCGUAACCUCAAACAAAACCUAAGUUAUAAUUAAAAUAGAAAAUGUUUUGGAUGCCCCAUUGGUAAUCUUGUAUAGGCGUGUGCUUCAACCAAUUCAAAACAUUACGGAUAAUAUAACGUAAUAAAAAAAUAACUGUAAAAUUAUUUGCUUCUAGUUCCAAUAAUAAUCAAGCUAUUAAGCAUUUUCCCAUUAAAUAAACUAAAAAAAAGGGAAAAAAAUAUUUCUACCUUCGACGACUUCAAAAAAAAAAAGAAAAAAAGAAAAAAAAGUCCACCGAGACCGCGAGAAGCUCAGAAGCGCUUUUUCUUUUUCUUUUUCUUUUUCUUCUUUUUUUUUUCAAAAAUUAUUUUUCUACUUCUUCUUCCGCUUCCUCCGAGAUCCAAGCGAGGCUCCCAUUUGCGCUCUACUGCGAAAGAGAAAAAAAAAAAAAAAAAAUGGUGCCGCGAACGGCGAGGAGCCUCUGCGACAUCCGAUUCCUCCUCCUCCUCGCCGCGGCCGCGUUCAUCUACAUCCAGGUUCCCGCUUCUCCCCCCCGCGCUUUUUCCAAAAUCCGAACCUUUUCGAUCCAUCACCCAUGUCGUCGAAGCUGUGUCGUAAUCGUACAGAUCGGAAAACGCGGUGGAUUUGAUGUGGAGAAUCGGUUUAGGUCAAAGGUUGCGAAUUUAGGGUAGUUCAGUGGAGGGAAUGAUGAUCGAGUUGCUGAUUUGGUGGAUUAGUAGUGAGUUUAUGUGGAGUUCAUGACCAAAUUGAAAUCGAUUUGGGGCAUAAGAUUUAUAAGCAAGAGCUCGUGAUAUCGAGAGUAGCAUCAAUCGUAAUUUCAUGUCCAAAAUGAAAAAGAGUCUGUUUUUGAAGCUUCACAAAACCUUUAUUUGAGAUAAAAGUUAGAGGUAAGCUUCAGUUUCAGUUUGUUUCACUAGUAGAUACCUAGCUAUAUAAUCGGCCAUGCAUUCGAUUUAGUUAGAUGAGCACAAUAGUUCGACCGAACCUUUCGGAGAUAUAUCUAGUGUUAAGACAAAUCCUCGGUCGUUCUACUAGAUUGAUAUUUUGGGUAACAUGGUAUCAAAGCUAGUCCUAAACCCCUUCCGUUUUAAGAUGUCCUAUGUACGAUUCCCAAAUCCACCAUUCUAUGGCGUGGAUUCCACACGUAGCGUGGUAGACUUGAUAUCCGUGAGCAGGGGUGUCAACACUAAUUCCGGGCUGUUUCCUACUAGAUCGAUCGUUUGGGCAACAUUCAGGUGUAUGUGAACCUUUGAGAGAUGCGGCAAUCGUUCGAAACUUAUCUCAUUACUUUUUGGUUGGUCAUCAUAUUUCAUAAUUAUUGUCGUUCUAAAUAACGUUGCCAUGUCAUAAGUCUAUUGCUAGUGCAUCGUAAUUGCGUAAUUAACCAUAGGAUCUCUCAGAGAUUCAUCGCUUGUAUCACCUUUGAUUGAUAUUAACUAUCCAUUCCUUAAUAGCAGCGUUUGCUAUUUUCUAUUUCUAUUGUCUGAUGCUUGAAUUACCUUCACCUUUUAUUACUUCAGGUGCGCCUUUUUGCUACACAAUCUGAGUAUGCAGAUCGUCUAGCAGCUGCUGUAAGUAAUAAACAUCUUUUCAUGGUGAAGAACUUGUUGUGUCCUUUUUAGCAUUUAACUUCUAUUUAAAUACCUCUUUGCUACGCUUCUCUGUCAAUUCAGACUAGGUUUUUCUCAGUUUUCCCACUUAGGUUUUUGCUUAUUGUGCCGUGAUGCAUUAAAUUUGUGUCUCAUUGGAUUUAAGAUGGUCAGCUGUUAAAACCUUCAUUAACUGUGUUACUUCUUGUCAAUCUGGAAGGAUAUGCACAUAAAAUUAUAUUUGCAUUGACUCAGUUGUCUUGCUAAGCAUUUCACAACUUCCUGUUGGAUACAUUUAACAGGAGAAAGCUGAAAGCCAAUGUACGAGUCAUACGCGGUCCUUAAUUGAUCAAAUAAGCAUGCAGCAAGAAAAGAUUGUUCUACUUGAAGGUAUGAAAUAGUUAGCCCUUAAUGCAAUAAUUCCUCUUUUGUAGUCUUUACAGUGGAAGAUUGUGCAUAUGUACAAACAAGUGGCAGCUCACAAUUUUUGAAGUGCUGUUGUAGACAUAUCAAUUUAAGCAUUAUAACAUAUAUCUUACACAAUCUUGGCACUAUAACUGCUUUUUCAGUUGCCUUUGUUCUUCUUCUCUUUGGAUAUUGCUCAUUUUCCUCUGUUCUCCAUUUUUUCUUGGUUGCGUCAGUCAAAAUUCACUUUGCCAUUCAAUAUGCAUUUUAAUUUAUCUUAUACUCGAACACAUAUUAUUCUUUCCUGUAUUUGUUCUCACUACAUUGUCCGUCACAUGGAUAUGCAAAUCCUAAUAUUCAUUUACAGAAUGAUAAGGAAGUAUUGUGGUGUUUGUUUCUUUAUCAAAUAUUUAGUGUCUGCAGGACAUUAACGAGCAUGGAAGUUCUUUUUACACUUUAUGUCGCAAUAGGCAAUGUUCUUCAGAAAAUGUUACUUCUUUUUUAUUCAUAUGGUUUCUAGUCCUUAUGCAUCUAUCUAAUGCUGUAAGAGGAUUGCAUAAUUCCAGAUCCUAAUUUAUUUCACCGGUAUUUCAGAAUCGAAGAAAGUUAGAGAUGAAGAAUACUAUCAGUUGAAGACUCUAGUUCGAGCUCUUGAAAGUAUGGCUUUGUAUUCUUUACCAUUAUAAUUUCAUGGUUUUACUUAUUAGAUUUGGUUAAUUUUCACAAAAUUAUUCUUUGGGUCACUGUUCGCUGUAUUUAAAUACUCUCUUAAAACUGCUCAGUUGCAUGAUGAGAGUAAGAUGGAUCAUGCACAUGGAACCACUAGAAGAAGUAAAUAAGAUAGAUCAUAUUUUAAAAUACUCUCUUGGAUUUUGUUUAAAAUACUCUCUUCAAAGUAUGUUCUGUUUAAAAUACUCUCUUCAAAGUAUGGCUUUGGAUUAUUUUCUGUUCUAAUUUCAUAUAUUAUUUACUCAUUAGAUUUGUUUAAUUUUCACAAAAUUAUUCUAUGGGUCACUGCUCGCUAUAUGUUCUGUUUAAACUACUCUCUUAAAACUGCUCAGUUGCACGAUGACAAUAAGAUAGAUCACGCACAUGAAACCAUUUGAGUAAUUAAAUAAGAAUCAAAUUUAUUUAAGUAUCCUUGUGGGAACCAAUGGCCUUGGAGAACUGUAGGUGCGUGGGAUCUGCUUCGAAAUUAUGCCAUAUUGCCAUCCAACCAGAGGAAGAAAAAUUCUAACAAUUUUCUGAACUCUUUUAAAAAAAAUACCUCUUGCAUGGUCAGCUUGGAGCAUUCAGAGGAUUCUGGGUCCAUGAUUGGCUUUUAGAGCAUUGGUCCAGCAGUGAGCUUCAAUAUGUAGCUGCGCAAAGCUACGGUAAUGCCAGGCUGAGAAGCUGGCUUCCUUCCACGUGUAAAUAUGUAAAUGAGCUUUGUGUAUGUUGAAGUAUCCUCAGACUUAAUGCUUAUCCCUGUCAGACUAAUGCCUCUGCUGAACUGGGCUCAUUGAUAUCAUUCUUUAGUGUUUUGGCCUUUGUCAUACACAUAGAUACGAAUGUCCCUUUGUUCUUCUAUUCUCGUGUACAAAGAUAGAGUAGACAGAAGCACAGCAACGAGAAAGCUACUCUCACUUGAGAUAGGAGAGAAUAUGAAGUGAGAAAAGGAGAGUAGAUGGCUGACCCUGGUGUUUCUCUUAAAUGUUCAAUUCAUUAAUUUUAGUCCUAAUUUUUGUUGCUUGUGUAAGUGGCCUGUUUAUACAUUUCUUUCCAAAAUAUUUUUACCAUAAACACUUUCUUAUGUUUUCAUGCAGAAAGGAAUCUAGAGGCCUUGAUUAGCAAAAAUGAGGUGUGUUUGCAUAAAUGGCUUGCUUACUUUAUGUUUGCAGUUUUUAGUUAACACAUUUCAUCUUAAUUGUCUUCUUUCUGUACUUCAGGUUCCUGUUGCAGCCGUGGUAAUAAUGGCUUGCAAUCGUCCAGACUAUUUACAAAGAACAGUAGACUCUAUAUUGAAGUACGGUGUAUGCUUUACUUGUCUAUUGCUUCAUUAGUAGAAAAUUAAUUUUACCUCCCUGUGGCUUUGAAUUUUUAUCUAUUUCUAGUGGCUUGAUAUGAGGUUGAUACUGAAACAUAGUGUUUGCUUAAAAAUAGAGCCUUCUCUACUCCCAUCAAUUUUCUACUCUUAUCCACAAAUUAAUAUAUGAUCGACCAACUGAAAUCUUAUUGGACGAUUUUUUUUUUCACAGAUAUCAUAGCUCUGUCUCUUCAAAAUUUCCACUUUUUGUAUCCCAGGUAAUAUGUUUUUUUCUUUUGGAAAAAUAUAUACCAACCUCUUUACACGAGGACUUGAUUCCUUGGAUGGCCCAAUUUGACUUAGAUUCCCUUGAUACACAGGAUGGAACAAAUCCUGAUGUUAAAAGUAAAGCUUUGAGUUACAGCCAGAUCACUUAUAUGCAGGUUUGGUACUAGAAGGUUAAUUUUUUAUGCUUUUUCAUUACCUACUAUAAAAUGAGAUAAUCUGUCACUAUAUUUGUCAACUUGCAUUUGCUUCUCUACAUUAAAAUUGGCCCCUUUUGUUUCUUUUAGAUUUUAUUGCCCUUCAUUCUGUUAUGAAUGAUGCGGAUACCAACUGCUUCUUCAUCUGUUCCCUCUGAAUACUCUUUAACUGCUUAAAUUCUAGCACAGAAUGAAUGAUGCGGAUACCAACUGCUUCAUCUGUUCCCUCUGAAUACUCUUUAACUGCUUAAAUUCUAGCAUGAAUGUUUUCUUUAUCAUUUGACAAGAAAAAUUAAGAACUGAACUGCUGAUAACUGUUCGUAAUUGAAUUGUCGAUUACUUUAUUCAUUUGCAGCAUGUGGAUCUUGAACCAGUGCAUACAGAACGACCAGGAGAAUUAAUAGCGUACUACAAGAUUGCCAGUAGGUCUAAUUCUUUGUGCUUGUAAUCAUUUCCAUUUUGUCGUCAGCUAAGAAUUUUUUCUGUCUCAGGGCACUACAAGUGGGCUUUGGAUGAACUGUUCACAAAGCAUAACUUCAAUCGGGUAAUCAUAUUGGAAGGUGCUGUCUCUUUGAGGGUCUUUUUAAUAUUUUAUUUUUGGUCCAUUAGUAUUUAAAUGAUAAGACUAUGAUAUUGUCCUGAACAGAUGACAUGGAGAUAGCCCCAGAUUUCUUUGAUUAUUUUGAGGCUACGUCUACUCUACUUGAUAAUGAUAAGUAUGGUCCAUAUUAUCUGCUCAAUAUAUAUGAAAGAUUGAUAUCUUUUGGUGGUCUUUCAUUUUAUUUUGCCUUGACAUUAUCCUUCAUUCGGUAUUAUUGAAGGACUAUCAUGGCUGUAUCUUCUUGGAAUGACAAUGGCCAAGUGCAGUUUGUGCAUGACCCUGGUUAGUAUCAUGAGAAACUUUAUGCAAUGUGCCACAAUAAGAAUGUGUUUUUAUUAGCUAACUUUCCACAAAAAAAAAAAAAAAAAAAAAUGCAGAAACCCUUUAUCGCUCAGAUUUCUUUCCUGGGCUUGGAUGGAUGCUAACGAAAUCUACAUGGGAAGAACUAUCACCAAAGUGGCCUAAAGCAUAUCCUUGUUCUUCUUAUGUUUUUCUGAUUAUUUCUCUAGUGAAUAGACAUCCUUUUUUCAGCAAUUUUCUUCCUUGACAUUUUCAUACUUAUUGGGAUGAUUGGGUAAGGUUGAAGGAGGUACACAAAGAUCGCCAAUUUAUUCGGCCAGAGAUUUGCAGAACAUACAAUUUCGGUGAGCAUGUAAGUUGACCACAUGCUAAUAUCAAUCAUCAUCCGGUGAACGUUUUAAUUACUGAAAACAAGACUGCAUUAUGAAUGGCUUCUACUAGGUUGUACAAAUGAAACCUCUACUAAUUUUUAUACAUUAAUAGCAACAACAAGGUAGCAGUUCUCUUGUCCUGACUAAUUUAUCUUACUUGUGUAUACUAAUUUUGGACUGCUAGUACUUAUAAAUUUAGUGGCUUCCUUCUGACUUCAUUCCAGGGCUCUAGCAUGGGACAAUUUUUCAAACAGUACUUGGAGCCUAUUAAGCUGAACGAUGUCCAUGUAGGUUGAAAGUACCUUGAUUUUGGUCCUAUAAUUUCAAUUGAGUAAAUGUUUUCUUAUUUAUCAUUUUCAUCACCGCAGGUUGAUUGGAAAUCAGCUGACGUGAGCUAUCUGAGGGAGGUAAUAUGAUUUUGUUAUGUAGACUCUUCAGAAUCGAUUCUUUUGACCACAGUUGACUUACCUCAUUGUUUUAUUGUCAGGACAAAUAUCUGGUUUUAUUCCGAAAAAUUGUAUCUGAUGCAAAACCUGUUCAUGGGCCUGAUGCUGUUCCUACGGCUCAUAAUCUAGAUGUUGAUGUCAGGAUCCAGUACAGUGACCAGAGAGACUUUGAGCGAUUAGCUCGCCAGUUUGGUAUAUUUGAAGAAUGGAAGGCGAGUUCUCUUCCCUAAUAUCCUUACACUUUUGUUAAUAGAUUUACAAUUCCAUUUUACUGCAUUUAAAUCCAUGUCUUUCUUUUUUGGUUGGAUUUUGGAGGAAUUUUUUAUUCUUCUUUACCGUAUGCGGUUGAUCAUAGUUAGCAAACAUAAAUGGACCACCCCAGGUCCUUGAAUUUGUCUUUCGUGUUUAUUUUAAUGUUGUAAUGUUACAUGAAAAUUUUUGCAAUAAUUUCGGUUGCUAUAGCAAGGCAACCUCGACAAGUCUAAGACCGACUCAUAUCUCUUUUUCAGGAUGGAAUUCCAAGGACAGCUUAUAAAGGAGUCGUAGUCUUCCGAUAUAAUAGAACUCAAAGGCGCAUAUUCCUCGUGGGUCCAGAUUCUCUUCGGCAACUUGGGAUCAAACAUUCGUGAGACAAUUUAACAGCACAUUUUGUACACUUUAUGCUUUGACCUCAGAUCUCUGUUGGCAUGACGGGACUAAUGAAUCUUACAACCACACUCAAGAUAUACAUUAAAAGGAUGGUCCAAAUCCACCGAGUGCUCGAAUUAAUACCUCAGAAGAUGGUUUUAUCGGCAAACAAUAUCGGUAACGCCCUUGCAUUCCUUAAGUUUUCUUUUCUUUUUGUGUAAAUGCAAGAAUAUGUUUAUUAAAACUUUUAGGUGUUGGCUUCUGUUCACUCAGAUUAUAGAUGCAUGAUAUUUAGUCGAUUGAAACAUUUGAAGCUGUCACACAUAGGAAGUUACAUUGACAAUUUGCUGCAUUAGGAAGUACAAAAUCUCUCAAUCUGAUGUUUUUUCUCUGCAAUAAAAUGUUAGUUGCAUUUAUCAUUGUUGUUUCGAAUUGUUGAAUUGUUCAAGUUAGAUAAGUUAUGUAAUCAAAUCUUGGUUUCAGUUAGUUUCUCUUUUUUCAGAUACAUGAUAAUACAUUUUAUAAAAACCGAAAAAAAAUUGAAGAAGUUUUCUCGAUUUUUCUUAGUAAGUAUACAGCACUUCUCUUUCUAAGAAUUUCUUUUCAAAAUUCCUUCACAGUUAUUGCAACCUUCUUUCUGCAAUAAAAAGUACUUCCUUUUUUUGUGUCCUUUUCCUUGGAGCUGGAUCUCAAAAAAGAGCCAUAAAACCAACUACAUAUUUUUUGUUGGUUUUUUGAGAGGUUCUUUUUUACAAUAUAUUUACAUGAAAUGUCAAAUCAUCUAAGCAAAGAUGUAUUUUAUUUAGAUGAAAUGUCUAAUACUAAUGCAAUAUGUUCUCAAUCCCUCAAUCACCAACAAAUUAGUGUCAAAAUAAUUUGUACAAGAAAAAGAACAUCAACAGUAUUAUUUUAUCUGUGAAGUCUUGAGUACAUUCCAAAAAUGGCCAACCUGGCACACUGCAUUUUCCAUUAUUAUUGAUUGGUAUCAUGAGUUAAGAUAAGUUGUAUAUCCACACAACAAGUUGGCUUAUUAUGUUGAAGUCUACAUUGUAGUCAUAUAUUUAAAAUUAGAAAAAGAAAGAAAGGUCAAAACCAAGGGCUUUUAUUUUUAUAUUUAUAUUUUAUUUUUUUUGGAAAGGUUCUGGAUACUAUCGGUAGCACCAAGCGUUUGGUGCUAUCAAGUUUUCCACCGUUAGAUUCAACUCUUUGACUAUAUUUAUCCGUUAGAUUAUACUAUUAAAUCAAUAACUCACUCAAUCCUAUUAAGCCCACAUCAUUCUAAUCGUAUAUUUUUUCAUCCAAGAAUCGAAAACCUAAUAUCACCAAGAGCUUGGUGCUAUUACAAAAAAUUAAAUAGUUGAUUCGAAAGAAGUUAUGUAAAAUUAAAGAAAACAAUAAUUUUGUAGUAAAUAGAUGUAGAAAAAUAGGGAGUAGAGCAGCACACUUAUCUCCUCCUGUGUGACUAGGGCUGUCAACCAGUAGGAUUCGGGACGGAUUUUUAAAAAUUCGAACCCGAAUCCGACUCCAAACCCGAAAUUCGAACCCAAAUCCAAGCCCAACGGAUUUUGAAAAUUCAUAUCUAAAUCAAAACCCGACCAAAAAUUCGAAACCUUAACUCGAAUCCGAAUCCGAAAAUUCGAAUCCAAAACAAUUAUUUCUCUUUUUAAUAUUUUAAAAUAUAUUAUAUUAAAUCUGAAAUUUUAAAAUACAAAUUUAAAUAUAACAUCAAAUUUUUAUAUACAUAUUAUAUAUAAUGUAAAAAAAUUUGGGUUUGGGUCGGGGUCGGGUUCGGAUUUGGAUUUGGUACAGUCAAAAUUCAUAUCUGAGUUUAUAUCCGUUGAAUUUUUAUUUUUAAUAUUCAUAUUCGAAACUAUAUCAGUUUAGUAUCAAAUAAAUAUGUUAUGUUAAGAUUAAAAUUUGAAUAAAAUUUUGGAUAUCUGUACCAGUGACAUCCUAUGUGCCACCAAUUAUUUGUGGGUCCAAUCAGUCUCCCAGAACAACUCCCUACAACUUGUCUUUUUCUUCUUCUUUGAUUAGAGUGGCUACUUUUUUUGAAGGGAAAACUUCAAAUACCCCCUUGUGGUUUCACUUUUUCUCACUUUAGUAUCCUGUGGUUUAAAGUGUAUUAAGUUAGUACCCUGUGGUUUUGCACUUUUUCACUUUAAUACCCUAUGGUUUAAGGCGUAUCAAGUUAGUAUCCCGUGGUUUCGCACUUUCUCACUUUAGUACUAUGUGGUUUAAAAAUCACAGGGUACUAACUUGAUACAAAAAUAAAAUCACAGGGUACUAACUUAAUAAAAAAUAAAAUCACAGAGUACUAAUUUGAUACACUUUAAACCACAGGGUACUAAAGUGAGAAAGUGCGAAACCAUAGGGUACUAACUUGAUAUACUUUAAAACACAGGGUACUAAAAUGAAAAAUACGAAACCACAAGGGUUUUUUUUGAAGUUUUUCAUUUUUUGAACCAUUUACUUGUCUAGUCUCUUUACAAAAAAAAAAUUCCUAUCUAGCCUCCUUUUGAAAAGUAUUCUUAAUCUAGUCUCAUUUUUAUAGAUUAGAAAAAAUAUGAUAAGUUAAUAAUUUGUAUAUAAAUUAAUAUGUUAAGUGGGUGAAGAUUAUCUUUUAUUCUCUCCUUUUAAAUUAAGUGAAUGUAAUGUGAUUUUAUAUAUGAACACUUUUAAAUUAUAUUGACUUGUAUAAUCAAAUUAAGUAUUAGUAGUACUAAUAAAAAAUGAUAAUUUAGAAAUAUUAUUUUUAAUAAAUAAUUUUUUUAUUAAGUGUUCAUAUAUAAAAUCACAUUACAUUCACUUAAUUUAAAAAGAGAGAGAAAAAAGAUAAUCUCCACCCACUUAACAUAUUAAUCUAUAUACAAAUUAUUAACUUAUCAUUUUUUUCCUAAUCUAUAAAAAUGAGAUUAGAUUGAAAAUAUUUUUCAAAAAAAAGGCUAGAUAGAAAAGAUUUUCUCGUAAAGAGACUAGACAAGUAAAUGAAUCGAAUAUAGCUAUGGGUACUCAAAACUAUAAUGUUUGUGUCCAUUCAACACAUAGAAUUAAACUAGUUUAAAAUUUAUUUUGAUUCGUUCAGAUCCGUGGUUCAAUGAUCAUAUAAGCGGGUGAACUGGUCCGAUUUUAAAAAAAACUGGUUUAAUUCAAUAAUUACUUAAAAAUAUUUAUUAAUAUCUGAACAUGAUGUACUUUGAAUAUAUUUUUAAUUAUAUAUGAUAAUAUUUGAUAACAAUUUAGAUUAUUACAUUUAAGUUAUAUGCUCAUCUUUUCGCAUAAAAAAUUUAUUAGUUUUACAAUUUUACAAAAGUGAAAAAGUGGGUAACGAGUGGGUGAUGUUCGUCGUGUUUCUCUCGCUCGUUGGGGUGUUCACUACGCGGAUGCGGCGAAAGAGUUAGUGUGAAGGUGGUGGAGGUGGAAUGAGCGCUCGAAGUUGCCACCAGUGGUAGAAAUAUAAUUCUAAUCUGCAAAAAAAAAGAAAAAAAAAAGUGAUCUACUUUUGUAAAAGCGAAAAACUAUUUUUUUUACCAAAAAACUUUAUAUUUUUAUUAUAUACAAUAUAAAAAUAUUAAUUAAAUAUUGAUGACGCCAGUCAAUUUAAUGAUCCAGGAAUCGAUAAGCUAGCAAUAUUUCUUAAUAGCAAAUAAUUAUUAUAAAUUUUAAAACACCCAUCAAAAGUGCUGAUUUUAUAAUAAUUUAUUAAUAUAUGAGUUUUGUAAUUCGAAGAAUUUCAAUUGAUUCAUACUGAUCUUUUAAAUAUUAUACUAAUUUGCCAGCAUAUUAAAAAAUCUAAAUAAAAUUUUUCUGGAGAGACUACGGAUAUACCUUUGAGUCGGAGAGAUCUCUUAAAAAGUUACUGAUGUGGUGGUACGUUAGUAUGUUACGCAGACAGACGAAAUAUAAUAAAAAAUUAAAAAAGUACCCUUGGCAUUAUACCAAUAUAUAAAAAAAUUAGUUUUUGUAAUUUUUUUUGUCCCAUUUGGUGGCAUCCCAGCUGGUCCUUAGUUGGAAUUUGCAAUGUGCUCCUCAGGUCUAGUUUGGUGUGCUUCUCCAUCUACAAAAUAAAUGGUAAAUUAAUUAUCAAAAAAUAAAAAUAAAAAUAUAUAGAACUCAAUCUAAUAGUGCUUUAUUUAAUAUCUUAUAAAUUUUAAAAAUUGUUACAUUUAUCAAUCUAUGGAUAAUGAAGCACGGAGCUUUAAUACCUUAUUAAAAGCAUAUUUUUUACGAUAAUAAAAUAUCUUUAUAGUAUCUAUUAAAGUUUUUCCCUACAUAAAAUAAAAUAAACUAAAGUCGGUGGAUGACGUGGUAGACCCGGUUCACCAAAAAUUCCACAUCCCUCUCCUACUAACAACUCAACAAGUCGUCAUUACAGGUGACGUAUCUCUCUCUCUCUCUCUCCUCCUUUUCUCUCUCUCUCUCUACACCUCUCUCUUUCUCUCUCUCCUCCUUUUCUCUCUCUCUUUCUACACCUCUCUCUUUCUUUCUCUCUCUUCUCCUCUCUCUCUCUCUACACACCUCCUUUCUUUUUCUCCUCCUCUCCUCUCUCUCUCUCUACAUCUCUCUUUCUCUCUCUCCUCCUCUCUCUCUCAUCUCUCUUUCUCUCUCUACAUCUCUCUUUCUCUCUCUCCUCCUCUCUCUCUCAUCUCUCUUUCUCUCUCUACAUCUCUCUUUCUCUCUUCUCUCUCUACAUCUCUCUCUCUCUUCUCCUCUCCACUCUCUCUCUGCAUCUCUCCUUUCUCUCCUCUCCACUCUCUCUCUCUACAUCUCUCCUUUCUCUCUCUCUCCUCUCCACUCUCUCUCUCUACAUCUCUCCUUUCUCUCUCUCUCCUCUCCUCUCUCUACAUCUCUUCUCUCUCUCUCUCUCUCUCUCUCUCUCUCUCUCUCUCUCUCUCUCUCUCUCCCCAUUUUAAUCCACUACGCAUUUUCCUCUACUCAGAACCAGCCAUGGGUAAUCACAAAGAGACCCUAUAAGAUCGAAACCCUAGGAGGAGAAAAAAGGUACCAUCUUUUUAUCUUUUUUUAUUUAUUUUCCCCCAAUUCUUUUCCCCCCUUUCGAUCAAUUGCAAAAUGUGGCAUUUUUUUCUCCCUAAUAACGAUUAAUUCUCCAUUUGGUAUGAUGCUGCAGUUAUCAUUGUACAUUCGAGUAAUUUGGAGGUGUUAUAGAAUGGGAAAGUGUGCUUUAAUUUACUAUUAUUAUCUGGGAACAAUUUUGAUUUUUUUGUCAAAUUUUAAAGGGUCGGUGUGAAUCCAUGAACAUCAUGUUUAGCAUUAUUUUUUUAUAUUGUUAUUUUGUUCAUUAUGGCCAAAUUGCUACUGAGAAUAACCUGUCCUAGAAUUGUAUGCAAGUAAACCGAUUUAAUGUGUUAAAAUUGCUCUCCUAGGCUUAAUUUUGCGCAUUUUUUGGUUGUUUUUAACCACAAUUUUGAGUAAACCUAAUCAAAUUUCCACACAAUGUGGGUAUUUUCUUUACAUUCUCCUUUUUCACAUCUUUGUUCAUACUAUGUUUGUUUAUUGCGGCAUUGGUCGAAGUUUUCAAAGAGUCUACUUUGUUGCAGUAGCUUUUGCCAAAGAUAUGGCCGAGGAAUUCGAAGAAAAUUGUGAAAAUAACGACCGGCACGGCGAGAUCUAUCAAGAAAAAGUAUACGACGCGUUUGUUUGCCCCCUCACUAAGCAAAUUAUGCGCGAUCCCGUUACCAUCGAAACAGGGUACACCUUCGAUAGAGAAGCAAUUUUGAAAUGGUUCAGGGAAUGUCAGAACAACGGAAGGAAACUCGCGUGCCCCUUGACACGAAAGGAGCUCCGCAGCACCGAUCUUAACCCUAGUAUCGCUCUUCGUAAUGCUAUUGAUGAAUGGACGCAAAGAAAUGAAGCUAAGGAGCUCGAUAAAGCGCACAGAUUACUGCUGAGUUCGGCGAGCUCAGAACAAGAUGCUUUGAGGGCUCUAGAGUUUGUUGUCAAUGUUUCCUGGAAAAGAAGCCGUGCUGUAUAUAAUGGCGGGUUGAUACCGACGAUUUCUGGCUUGUUGAAGAGCGGCAGCAUAACCCUUCGCUCUAAAGCACUCGAGGUUCUUCGCAUUGUAGCCGAGGAAAACAAUGAAAAUAAGGUUUUUUUUCUUCCUUUUCUUUUUUCAAAAUUUCGGGAACUGACAUUUUGUUUCCGAAGUUAUUGAUUUGUCACUUACUUUCUAGGAAGAUAUUGGCGCGGGAGACACCAUACGCACGAUCGUAAAGUUUCUCCUGCAUGAAUAUAUCAAGGAGAGGGAGUUAGCUGUCGCUCUCUUAUGUGAGCUUUCGAAGUCCGAAUCUUUGUGCGAAAAGAUUGGUGGAGUCGACGGGGCGAUUCUCAUAUUGGUAGGAUUGGCGAGUAGCAAAUCGGAAAACAUCGUAGUCGUUGAGAGAGCCGAGCAUACGCUGAAGAAUCUGGAGAAGUGCGAGAAAAAUAUUAAGCAAAUGGCGGAAAAUGGGAGGCUUCAGCCCCUUCUUACGAAACUCCUCGAAGGUGCUUCCUCCCUUUCUAUAAUAUCUGUAACAUCUUUGUCCUGUGUUAUAUUCAUAUUCUCCUUAUCAUGAUCAGUGUAUCACAAAUUUUUCGGUUCUGAAUCAAUUCUCGUAAUCUGUCAUUCUGUUUGUAAAGUUGGUUAUGGCAUACUCGUAAGUCGUGACUUUUACAUCCAUUGAUUCUACAUCUGAAGCAUCAUCGAAUCGCUUACCUCUGAUUAGUAACGAGUUUAUACUAAACUUAGUUAAGAUGCUAUUGUGAGCAAUUUUAUCGGCCUGUCGGAUGAAAUUGUAAAUCACUUUUACAAGAACUUGGUUUCAGGUACGAAUCCCGCGUACUGCAAAAUUUGUCUUCAGUUAUGAAAUAUCAUUUGCUUAGAGGGACCAUUUUUCUUUUUUCUUUUUCGAAACUUACUCUUUAUUAGUACAAAUGUGCAACGGGCGAUAGCGAUAGCCGAGCAGCUUCUCACGCAACUUGUUCUGUAAAAUUUGAGCAGGUUCGCCGGAAACCCAGCUAUCGAUGGCUUUAUACCUUGGCGAACUCAUUCUCGCCAACGACGUAAAGGUCCUUGUGGCACAAACGGCCGGUCCGACGCUGAUAACCAUUAUGACGACGGGAACCGUGCAAGCAAGAGAAGCUACUUUAAAAGCCCUGAAUCAGAUCUCGUCGAACGAAUCGAGCGCCAGCGUACUAAUCGAGGCCGGCAUCCUCCCCCCUCUCGUCAGGGACCUCUUUGCCGUCGGCUGCGGCCGCCUCCCAACGCGGCUGAAGGAGAUGUCCGCCGGCGUCCUGUCCAACCUCGUGGCGUCCGGCGCAGAUCUCGAGGCUGUCCCGUUAGACGACGGCGACCAAACUCUUCUCUCAGAGGAUGUCGUCCACAACCUGCUCCACCUCAUCAGCAACACCGGCCCGGCGAUCGAGCACAGGCUUCUUCAAGUCCUGGUUGGACUGACGAGUUCGCCGACUGCGGUUUCGUACAUUGUUUCCGGCAUUAAAAGCUCAGGUGCCGUUAUCAGUUUAGUCCAAUUUAUCGACGCCGCGCAUACAGAUGUUCGCGUGGCCGCGCUGAAGCUCUUACAUAACAUCUCUCCUCACAUGAGCAUCGAGCUCGCAGAAACUCUCGGAGGUAGUUCCAGCCAUUUGGGCACCGUACUUGAUGCCAUUUCGGACAACAACGGGAUCGCAGAAGAACAAGCCGCGGCCAUCGGGCUUCUGGCUGAGCUUCCUGAGAUGGACUCUGGCCUCACCAAACAGCUUUUCAAACAAGGAGCUUUCAGAGUUGUCAUUACAAAACUGCUCAGUAUAAGGGACGGCGGGGCUCGCAGCAACCGCUACAUAGGGCCUUUUCAGGAAGGGCUCGUGCGAGUGCUCUCAAGGCUUACGUACUGCUUAGCGGAGCCCGAACACAUCGCCUUCGCAAAGGAGUACGAUCUCGCCACAGUUUUCGCCGGUCUAAUCGAAGCAAACGGGAGCGAUAAGGUGAUAAUAGCUUCAGCUUUCGCACUCGAGAACCUCUCGCAAGAAUCCAAGUACUUGACAGCAAAACCUGAGCCGCCAAAGUGUACUCUACUGUCCUGCUUCAGUAAGCCGCCGUCGGUUUCUGGGCUCUGCCGCAUACACCAUGGGUUCUGUACAGCGAAAGAGAGCUUCUGCUUAUUGGAGAGUAGGGCGGUCGAGAAGUUGAUUGCUUGUUUAGACCACACCAAUGAGAAGGUCGUCGAGGCCGCAUUGGCUGCGCUUUGCACUCUGCUGGACGAUACCGUCGACACCGUAGAAGGGGUGUAUGUGUUGUGUGAGGCCGAGGGGAUUAAACCGAUUUUCGAUGCUCUGAUACAGAAUCGGACCGAGAUUAUUCAGAAAAGAGCAGUUUGGGCCGUCGAGAGGUUUUUGCGAAUCGACGACAUCGCGAGAGAAGUUUCGGGGAAUCAGAGUGUGGGCUCGGCUCUUGUGGAAGCUUACAGGAAUGGUGACUACCGGACGCGGCAGAUCGCGGAGAGAGCAUUGAAGCAUAUAGAAAGGUUGCCAGAUUUCUCUGCCAUAGCUGCUCAGAGUUAAGAGUUGUUGUUAUGUUCAAGAGGCAAGGUUUGCUUGGUAAGCAUAUAUCUACUUUUGCAAAUUUUCUCUACUCUUCCAUUGUUUAUUCUUUUUCAUGGUUUUUCUCUUGGAGAUUAUUCAUGUUAUCACUACUUUAUAUAUAUAUAUAUAUAGAGAGAGAGAGAGAGAGAGAGAGAGAGAAUAGGCUACUAUACUCAUAUAAGAGUAUAGAACUUUUGGUACUCAUAAGUUGUUUUUUAAUGGAGCUUCCGUAUCGAUGAUCCACUACGUUAAAUAUCAUCUAUAGUAUUUAAAACUUUUAAAAAAUAAAUUUUGUAAUUUUUUGAAAUCAUAAAAAAAUCAUCAACCGGCCAUUAAAAAUUAUUAAUUUUUAGAUCUUUCGAUCGUAAUGUAAAUUAUUUUAAAAAGUUAUAAAAUUUGAUUUUUAGAAGUUUUAAAUACUAAUAUAAUGUUUAACGGUAUGAAUCGUUGAUUCGAAAGUUCCAUCCUCAAAAACGAUUUAUGAGUACGAAUGUGAUUGCACUCAUAAGAGUAUAUAUAUAAUGUUCAAUUAUGGUAUUUGUAAAUUUUUUUAUCGUUAGAUAUAUUUUUUUGAUCAUUUUCAUCCGUUAGAUCAUACUAUUCAACUACCCACUCAACCCUAGAGAUUUCACAUCAUCUUAAUUGCGCAUCCCUUAAUUCAAUAACAAAAAACCUACGAGCACCAAUAACUUAUACUUUAAAAAAAUUAAAGUUCAAUUAUAUAUAUAAUAAAAAAAAAAAAAAAAUUUAUAGAUAUAAUAUAAAUUAUAUAUAUAUAAUUGAGCUUCUAUGCUUUUAUAAAAUACCAAAUUAUUGUGGCUUGUAUAGUUUUUAGCCGCCUUGAUUAAAGGGAGUGCCGUUUACGACGAUGUGAGCCUCCUAUGGGUUGAGUGGGUGGUUGUUGAGAUAGUAUAAAUCUAACGGUACAAAUGAUCCAAAGGCUUAAAUCUAACGUGGAUAAACUAAAUAGUACCACAAUAUUUGGCUAUCGAUAGUACCCACAGCAGGAUAUAAUAUAUAUAUAAUAUAUGAUAUAUUAUAUAGUAGGAGUGGAACUAUUAUUAAAUAUAAAACAGCUUCUUUUUUGCUUCAAGUUUUUAAACCUUGAUGAAAAUGUAGGUCAGGAAUGAUAAUUAGUCGAUAGAAGUGAAGUGUCUCCCUUAGGGUUGAGUGGUUCCCACGGUUAUAUAUUUAAUCCAAUGGUUAGAGAAUAAUGAAAGAGUUGAUCCAAGCCUAAAAAUAGUAGCCACAAUGAAUUGUCUGUACUAUAGUAGCCCAGUCCACUCUCUCUCUCUCUAUAUAUAUAUAGUCUCUCUCUCGUCUUCUCUCUCUACUAUAGAUAUAUAGAGAGAAGUAGGAGAAGCGCCUAAAACUAGUCAUAUUUAGAGGCACGGAGGCCUCCGUGCUACCAAGUUAUUUUAUGAUGCGGCUUUCAAAAUCAAGAUCGGCCCCGUUGAUUUGAUUCGUACACUAUUAAAAUAUUUAAACUAAUUUUCAUAAUUAUUCGACUUUUUUGCUAGUUCAAAGUCCUCAAAAUUAACAAUUUAAUGUAAUGAUAUGUGUUGUGUGAAUUUAACGGUGUAAAUAUACACAAUUUGAAUUGAAUUUAAUAGAAUUUUGUUCAACUAUAUAGAAUAAGAUUAAGAACCUCUAUAUCUUAAAUUCAAUCUUUUACAUCAUUUUUUUAUAUAGAUUUUUAUUUUAAGCCGUCAUUUUUAGAACCUACUCUUAUAGUAAAUAAUGUCGAAAAUUAUAAAAUUAAUUUUCAAAUAUUUUUAAUAGUGUAGAUCAAGUCUAACGAGAGCGAAUCGUCGAUUGGAUAGCCGCAGUUAUCGAAACGAACUUAGUAGCCCGGAGGCUACCGAUAGUAUACCGCCUAACUUAUAAUACAUAUAUAUAAUAUAUUUAUAUAUAGUAUAUGUGUAAAACUAUAAGCACUUUAAAAUUGGCUUACCAAAUAUUUUAAAAUUAAUUUUACUACUAAAACAUUCAUUGUUUUAUAAUCAAUAAGAGACUUCUAUCUAUGAAAUUUAAACUAAAUUUUUAUGUUUAAUAAACUUAUAGUUUAAUAAUUAUAAAAAAAAAUAUAAUAAUAAACAAAGAAAUAUAACACAUUCAAUUUUAUGAAAUUAAGAGAUAUAUAACUAUUUCAAUAUUUUACUAAAAAAGAAAUAUAUAACACAUUCAAAUUUACUAAAGACUAAAAAAAAUAAUACACUUUCAAAUUUUAUAUCAAAAAUAUCAUUAACCAACUCGCAUUAAAUAAAACUAAAAGUGAAGAGUUAAAACAAAAAAUUAAAACAUAUGUUAAUGUAUCAUUUGAAAUAGGAAAUAAAAUCAAAAUUCUGAAUAUCCAACGCAGAUUGAUGUAGCCUAAUCAGUUACGAAUUGGAAAUAAAAUUCUGGUAAGGUCCAUAUGAAUCAAUAUGUAUAACAACAAAGUGAAAUAGUAAAAAAAAAAAAAAAAAAAUUGGAACCCACACCAGCAAAUAUAAUCUAUUACUUCAAUCAAAAGUGAUUGAAUGUAUAAGCGGAAUGAAUGUAAAGUAUCCUACAAUUAGAACAUUGAUCAUACUAAUUUAAUUUAUCCUCUUUUUUUUUUUUUUUGGAAUACAACGGCUAAAUCAGUUGAACUAUAAUCUCUGAUGCAUCUUUAACAUGCAAAAAGAUUUACUUACAUUACCAACCACAGCUUCAGAAAUUUACAUUCCUCUUCAAUAUCUAAUAAACCAAUAUAAGACCAAAUCAUCACCAAAGCAACUUCAUAUUAUCAUCACAAAUCAUCAAACUACUAUAAACUCUUCACCCACUCUUGAUUCUUAAACCAAUAACAAGAUUAGAAAUUUCAGAGUAGCUGAUGCAGCAGAAACACUAUAAAAGAUCCAACCCCUUUUUCAUUCCAAGAUCAAAUUUUACAUCCCAAACCAACAAAACCAACAACCUGGCCCUGAAGAUAGAAACCCUAACCCUAACCCUAGCCCUAGCCCUAGAGAGGGGCACCUGUCUCGUUCUCACCCGCCGAAGCCGUAGAGGGUGCGGCCCUGGCGCUUGAGGGCGUAGACGACGUCCAUGGCGGUGACGGUCUUGCGGCGGGCGUGCUCGGUGUAGGUGACGGCGUCGCGGAUGACGUUCUCGAGGAAGAUCUUGAGCACGCCGCGGGUCUCCUCGUAGAUGAGGCCGCUGAUGCGCUUCACGCCGCCGCGCCGCGCCAGGCGCCGGAUCGCGGGCUUCGUGAUCCCCUGGAUGUUGUCGCGGAG
This 18930-nucleotide long non-coding RNA is filed under the name Ananas comosus (pineapple). RNAcentral describes it as "long non-coding RNA (ACOM_LNC031942)". Lineage: Eukaryota; Viridiplantae; Streptophyta; Magnoliopsida; Poales; Bromeliaceae. The record is from RNAcentral.